RNAcentral lists this ribosomal RNA (459 nucleotides) under uncultured bacterium. Its description in RNAcentral is "partial 16S ribosomal RNA". It matches the Rfam family "Bacterial small subunit ribosomal RNA", at positions 338 to 795 of the family's 1533-position model. The record is from RNAcentral.
CCUACGGGAGGCAGCAGUGAGGAAUAUUGGUCAAUGGGCGGGAGCCUGAACCAGCCAAGUCGCGUGAGGGACGACGGUCCUAUGGAUUGUAAACCUCUUUUGUCGGGGAACAAAGGCGUCCACGGGUGGGCGGAUGAGUGUACCCGAAGAAAAAGCAUCGGCUAACUCCGUGCCAGCAGCCGCGGUAAUACGGAGGAUGCGAGCGUUAUCCGGAUUUAUUGGGGUAAAGGGGGGCGUAGGCGGACAGUCGAGUCAGCGGUAAAAAUGCGGUGCUCAACGCGGUACAGCCGUUGACACUGGCAGUCUUGAGUGGGCGAGAGGUAUGCGGAAUGCGUGGUGUAGCGGUGAAAUGCAUAGAUAUUACGAAGAACUCCGAUUGCGAAGGCAGCAUACCGGCGCGCUACUGACGCUGAGGCACGAAAGCGUGGGUAUCGAACAGGAUUAGAUACCCUUGUAGUC